Molecule: ribosomal RNA, 565 nt
Filed under: uncultured archaeon
Lineage: Archaea
Description: bacterial SSU rRNA
Rfam family: Archaeal small subunit ribosomal RNA
Source: RNAcentral
CGCGAUUCGCCCUUCGGGGGCCCAGGCGCGAAAACUUUACAAUGCUGGCAACAGCGAUAAGGGGACCUCGAGUGCCAGGAUACAAUCUUGGCUGUCGUGAUGCCUAAAAAGCAUUACAUAGCAAGGGCCGGGCAAGACCGGUGCCAGCCGCCGCGGUAACACCGGCGGCUCGAGUGGUAACCGCUAUUAUUGGGUCUAAAGGGUCUGUAGCCGGCCGGAUAAGUCUUUUGGGAAAUCCAGCUGCUCAACAGUUGGGCUUUCAGAAGAUACUGUUCGGCUCGAGGCCGGGAGAGGUGAGAGGUACUUCAGGGGUAGGGGUGAAAUCUUGUAAUCCUUGAAGGACCACCAGUGGCGAAGGCGUCUCACCAGAACGGUCCUGACGGCAAGGGACGAAAGCUAGGGGCACGAACCGGAUUAGAUACCCGGGUAGUCCUAGCCGUAAACGAUACUCGCUAGGUGUCAGCCACGGUGCGACCGUGGUUGGUGCCGUAGGGAAGCCGUGAAGCGAGCCACCUGGGAAGUACGGCCGCAAGGCUGAAACUUAAAGGAAUUGGCGGGGGAGCAC